CCUUCUUUCAUGACAGCUAAUGGCAGGUGGCAUAGAUUUUUCACUGCUGGUAGAGAAAAAGCCUGAUUUGUAUAAACUGUUUUGCACCAUAUAAAUACAACUUUGUUACAUGUCCACUGAACUUAUUUAAAAAAUCUGGCACCUGUGGACCCUUCCAUGGGCUCCCCUUGUCUAAGGAGCAGUGCCAGAAAGUGGGAGCAAUGCUCUGCUUAGGAAGUUAUGGCAUGGGUAAUUAACAACACUUCUGAGCUGUUUAAACUCGCCCAAUGUUACAGACAAAAAUAGCUGGCAUGACGGUUGCUAUGUUUGUCUGGAGCUGAAUGGAAAGUGACUGAAACACGCCACUAGAAAGGGCUGCAGAAGCAACAAAACACCAAAUACAAGGAUCCAAAGAAACCAUUCCCAGUAAAUCUAUUUCACAAAAUACUAAAGGAAGUAUACAGCAUAGGAAUUGGACCACCUGAAGGCAGGAUACAGCAUGACAAUUGGACCAACUGAAAGAAGUAUACGACAUUGGAACUGGACUGACUGAAGUAAGGAUACAGCAUGGGAAUUGGACUAACUGAAAGAAGGACACAGUAUAGGAACUGGACCAGCUGAAGAAAGGAUACAGCAUAGGAAUUAGACCAACCGAAGGAAGGAUACAGCAUGGGAAUUGGACUAACUGAAAGAAGGAUACAGCAUAGGAACUGGACCAGCUGAAGAAAGGUUACAGCAUAGGAAUUAGACCAACCGAAGGAAAGAUACAGUAUGGGAAUUGGCAGAGAUUUUGUGCUUCUAAACUAGAAAACUUACAAGGGCUGAUGUUUUACAUUACACAACUGAUUGGGUGGAUGGAUACCACACAACUGGCCAUAUACAUGAAUGGUCAUAUUCUGUUGUUCUUUUCGUUGAGGCUGACUGUCUGUAUGAUGAGAAGCAAAGAGGAGCCCCUCAUCUUUUCAUCUUUUGAUGCACCAUGCAACCUAGUCACAUAGUAAACCCCUGAGCUGACAUGCCCAGACAGCCAGGCACUAUGGUCAGACAGGCCAAACAGCUUAAAGUUCCUGCUAUCUUGAAAAGCAGCAAUUCUUCUUUAAAAUAAACCAUGUGGCAUCAGUGAUGAAAAAGUUUUAUGCAAAUAUAAACUGAUUUUUGCCACAACAAUGCUAGUUGAGGUUGUUAUAUCCUUCACAUCUGCAGUUUAAAUGGCACUGCUGCCUGGACAUACAUACAUAUACAUACAUACACCCCAAGGAAAAGGAACUCAUCAGAGAACUGAUGACUGCCAGAAUAAAUAGUUAUGAGCUGAGGGCCAAGCAACAGCCAAACUGAAGUUAAGGACCACACAACAAUUGAUCAUUUUCUUCUAUUCUAUUGUAAAACAUGAUUUAAAUGGCACGGGUAUACUCAGACUCGGGAUAUGAACAAAUGCCUGGGAGACGCAAAUCUCUAAUGCAUUCUGAUGGAUACAGGUUCCUUAUGAAGGAUUCUCUGUUUUUUUGCAAAUCAGUGUAUUUUAUCCUCAGAGAAGUAUCCCCUACAGAGGCAUUGAGUAGAAAGAAAGAAAAAUUGUACUGUUUUUGAAACGGAUAGGGAUAAACCCUCAUUUUUAAACAGAUAGUGUGGUCUUUUGGAUUAAAUGGCCCUCUUCCACAUAUAAAGCUAUACAAGUAGGUAUGGCGGAAACUGUAUUUUAGCUACAAGUACUAGGCUAAAACAGAAUAAUCCAAGUUGCAUUUUAGUAUAAAACUUGGCAGAAGAAGGUUACCUGCUCCUGGACUAGAGGGAAAAGUAAGCUGAUCAUUCUGGGACCCACCAGCUGUAUAACUACCAAGUCCUACCCUUAAUAAUGGUACUACCUAAAACAGCAGACUGAAGGCCCCUGGAUGGACACCACCAUUUUAAAUCAUUCAUAGCUAUACAGGUUGCUUCAUUUUAAUAGGUUUGGGAGUCCAAUGUGGCCUUUUUGUGAGCUACGAACAUUGUAAAUCAGGGAUUCUUACGUAGAAUAUGCAACAAAGUAUCUGGCAAACAAACACCUCCCAAGACCUGGAGUCUUUCAAUGCAGGUUCCAGGCAAAACGCGCAUCUAGAUGCGAGUAUAAUCUUUCUCCUGGACAAAUGCAAAGCUCUUGGCAUUCAAGGGGUUUUUCCAAACUUUUGUUUCCUUUUAUUUCACAUUCAUCCCGUUCUGUGGACAGCGCCACAAGCGUACAUCCCCUUUCCCAGACUGGAGUGCAGGCGGGAACUGCGUGGUUUGCCCGUAGUAUGACGUGUGAGCUUUGCAAUGUUUGUAAACUAAAGUCUCACGUGACAUGGGGAACUGUGACUCCGCCAGAGACGUCGAAAGAGUGCAAGAUCUGCCUGCCAGGAGAUGGGUGGCGUAAAAACAGAUUUCCUAGAAAUAAGAAGAGGCCCAUGGCUUUUUUAAAAAAAAACAAAAAAAAACACACAGCCGAAAAAGCAGCAUAAAAAAAAUCCGCAUGGCUAUUUAUACUCCUGCUUCGGUCUUGGUACAACCUGUUACUUAGGCUGCAACGCAUUAACCCUCUGCAGCAGCACUAAAGUUGGAGAAACAGCGGACAAGGUCGUGCCAGCGAGAGGAUAACUGAAACGCAGGAUUCCCAGAGAAGAGAGCAGACCAUGUGGUUUCUCUACCAGCCUUCGGCGCGGCUGCCUGAAUCUGUGGACUGGACUAUAUGAGCAGAUGGAGCUGUCAGCAUGUUACACACACAAGUAGCUAUGCUAGAAUGUCACAAAACAGAAAUACUGCACCUUGACUUGAAUUCAACAUACAUAGUUGUGAUAGACAGAUACAAAAUAAUACCACAGUUAACAAUCGAAAGGGCAGUUUAACAACAAAUUACACAAUCAAUUAUUACUGUUGCUUAGGUUCCAAAUGGGAAAGGAAAAUAUUAGUUGUUAUAUUGGUGUAUUAACCAAGUUUGGUAGAGAUAUCUCUGGGAGUCAUUCCCAUCUGCAGUCUGUACAUAUAGGUGCAGGGAUAUCCAUGGAUCCACUGAUACCGACAUACAAAAUACCCAUCUCACUAAUUUAUAUAUUACAUUUUAAAUCUAUACAUAAUAAUAUACCAGAAUAGCAGGACUGGCUUCCAUUCAGCAGAGCGGGCAUUUAAAGGGGACCCCGAGCCUCUAAGUGGAGCCCCAUUGGUUAUACAAUGUUGUAUAGGAUAUCAAAAAGUCCACAGCUUUACAGAAUACAUUUAGAUAUUAGCUUUACCAACCUUGGACCCAGCUUCACUACAAUUUGAAAUCAAAGGCUAUUGGAGGGGCGGAAGACACCCAUUGAUCCUUAUUUGCCCCAUCUUCAAUCUGGGCCACCAGCCACAAUUUCUCUGGACAUGCCCAUUGGCACUUAGGCAGAGUAUCGCUCUGAACAUUGAAACAGAAGCGCAUGGCGUUUUGGAGGCUGGCACGGCACCGCUACAUGCGGGUUAACUAUAGAGGGUGGUGCAGCAAAGCCUUUAAAUAACUCUAAGUCAGAGCAGGAUUUUAACAGCGGAAAAGUUAACCAGUACAUAGCCAGUGCUGAAGCCUGCGCCUGUGGAGUUAAACCAAAAGAUUAUGAAACAGGAAACCUUUCUCAGAAGGAUGCAGGGUGUGUGUUACACAAGAACAAUAACCCACACCCAGCAUUUAAACUCCAAAUGGAAAGAAUUGACAUGUGUAUGCGCAUCAGUUGUGACAAUCCUAUGCCACUAUGUAAAGAUAAUGCCAAAAGAUCUGCUAUUUACAGGCCAGGUUUUAACAAGGAAUCCCUGAAGCAAGGACAACAAGGCGAACAAGUGGAUCUUGGUGACCUAAAAUGAACUAGGAAUUAAAAAAAAAAAA
This is a long non-coding RNA of Xenopus tropicalis (tropical clawed frog), 3832 nucleotides long. RefSeq lists it as uncharacterized. The transcript has 2 exons. The record is from RefSeq and is a predicted model, not a curated record. Lineage: Eukaryota; Metazoa; Chordata; Amphibia; Anura; Pipidae.